RNAcentral lists this non-coding RNA (734 nucleotides) under Cryptosporidium parvum. The record is from RNAcentral. Lineage: Eukaryota; Apicomplexa; Conoidasida; Eucoccidiorida; Cryptosporidiidae.
UCUUUCUCUGUAAACGUUCCUUGGUGACCAAACGUUGGAUCUUUGGUGCCUUAGUCUUUUCCUUACCUUCAAUCUUUCUGCGAACAACGAAUUUACGAACAUCAUCAGAUGGGCUGAGGUUGAAUAGCUUUCUGAUCUUAGAAGCUCUCUUUGGUCCAAGGCGUCUUGGCUUUUCACCAUCAGUAAGUCCUGGAAUAUCCUGCUCUCCUCUCUCAACAACUACCAAACUUAAUACAGAUAAGUCAUGGCUAACGAUGCAUCCACGGACUGACUUUCUCUUCAUUUCACCUGUGCGACGUGGGCGAUAGCAUUUCAUACCUUUUCUGAAUAAAAGACGAACACGAUUACUUGUUAAAACACCCUGCAUCAUUGGAAAGCCUUGUUUGUCAUUACCACCGGUAAUUUUCAAAAUAUAACCCUUGAAUUCCUCACCCAAGAAGCUACAGUCAAGUUCAGAACCAAUUCUUCUUUCGAAGAAAGGUAAGAGUAACUUCUCGUCGUCAAUUUCAAUACAUUUCUGAAGUCCUGUUGUUGGAUUAGCAAUGUUUAAUUUCAUUUUGGGAACUGCUCAAAAAACCAAAGAAAAAAAGAUGGUUAAUAGUCUACAAAGUUUUCUUAGACGAACUUAAUAUGCGUCGCUAUUAAGAGGAGCGGUCUGUUUUACAUUAAAGUUAUUCCAAUUAAUAUUAGUCCGCUUAAUUAAAAUUAAUUAUAUCAAAUAUUUAAUAACAUAC